Molecule: transfer RNA, 90 nt
Filed under: Gammaproteobacteria bacterium
Lineage: Bacteria; Pseudomonadati; Pseudomonadota; Gammaproteobacteria
Description: tRNA-Ser
Rfam family: tRNA
About the family: Transfer RNA (tRNA) molecules are approximately 80 nucleotides in length. Their secondary structure includes four short double-helical elements and three loops (D, anti-codon, and T loops).
Source: RNAcentral
GGUGAGGUGUCCGAGUGGUNGAAGGAGCACGCCUGGAAAGCGUGUAGAGGUUAACACUUCUCGAGGGUUCGAAUCCCUCCCUCACCGCCA